RNAcentral lists this transfer RNA (72 nucleotides) under Penaeus chinensis. Its description in RNAcentral is "tRNA-Gln". It matches the Rfam family "tRNA". Rfam says of the family: Transfer RNA (tRNA) molecules are approximately 80 nucleotides in length. Their secondary structure includes four short double-helical elements and three loops (D, anti-codon, and T loops). The record is from RNAcentral. Lineage: Eukaryota; Metazoa; Arthropoda; Malacostraca; Decapoda; Penaeidae.
GGCCCCAUGGUGUAAUGGUUAGCACCCUGGACUUUGAAUCCAGAGAUCCGAGUUCGAGUCUCGGUGGGACCG